GCAACUUGUACUGUGAAACUGCGAAUGGCUCAUUAAAUCAGUUAUCGUUUAUUUGAUUGUAACUUUACUACUUGGAUAACCGUGGUAAUUCUAGAGCUAAUACAUGCUGAAAAUCCCGACUUCAGGAAGGGAUGUAUUUAUUAGAUAAAAAACCAAUGCCUUUCGGGGCUCUUUGGUGAUUCAUGAUAACUUCGCGAAUCGCGUGGCCUUGCGCCGGCGAUGUUUCAUUCAAAUUUCUGCCCUAUCAACUUACGACGGUAGGAUAGUGGCCUACCGUGGUGUCAACGGGUAACGGGGAAUUAGGGUUCUAUUCCGGAGAGGGAGCCUGAGAAACGGCUACCACAUCCAAGGAAGGCAGCAGGCGCGCAAAUUACCCAAUCCCAACUCGGGGAGGUAGUGACAAUAAAUACUGAUGCAGGGCCUUUAGGGGUCUUGUAAUUGGAAUGAGUACAAUUUAAAUCCAUUAACGAGGAACAAUUGGAGGGCAAGUCUGGUGCCAGCAGCCGCGGUAAUUCCAGCUCCAAUAGCGUAUAUUAAAGUUGUUGCAGUUAAAAAGCUCGUAGUUGAACCUUGGGCCUGGGCGAUCGGUCCGCCUCACCGCGUGUACUGGGAGCCUGGGCCUUUCCUUCUGGCGAACCUCAUGCCCUUUAUUGGGUGUGUUGGCAAACCAGGACUUUUACUUUGAAAAAAUUAGAGUGUUCAAAGCAGGCAUUUGCUCGAAUACAUUAGCAUGGAAUAAUAGAAUAGGACGUGCGGUUCUAUUUUGUUGGUUUCUAGGACUGCCGUAAUGAUUAAUAGGGAUAGUCGGGGGCAUCCGUAUUCAAUUGUCAGAGGUGAAAUUCUUGGAUUUAUUGAAGACGAACUACUGCGAAAGCAUUUGCCAAGGAUGUUUUCAUUAAUCAGGAACGAAAGUUGAGGGAUCGAAGACGAUCAGAUACCGUCGUAGUCUCAACCAUAAACUAUGCCGACUAGGGGUCGGGCGAUGUUUUCUUAUGACUCGCUCGGAACCUUACGAGAAAUCAAAGUCUUUGGGUUCCUGGGGGA
This 1044-nucleotide ribosomal RNA is filed under the name Acervus stipitatus. RNAcentral describes it as "SSU rRNA". It matches the Rfam family "Eukaryotic small subunit ribosomal RNA", at positions 69 to 1122 of the family's 1831-position model. The record is from RNAcentral. Lineage: Eukaryota; Fungi; Ascomycota; Pezizomycetes; Pezizales; Pyronemataceae.